Molecule: ribosomal RNA, 253 nt
Filed under: uncultured bacterium
Lineage: Bacteria
Description: partial 16S ribosomal RNA
Rfam family: Bacterial small subunit ribosomal RNA
Source: RNAcentral
UACGUAGGGUGCAAGCGUUGUCCGGAUUUAUUGGGUUUAAAGAGUGCGUAGGCGGCCCUGUAAGUCAGUGGUGAAAUACUCCAGCUUAACUGGAGGGGUGCCAUUGAUACUGCAGGGCUUGAGUUAAGUUGAGGUAGGCGGAAUUGACGGUGUAGCGGUGAAAUGCUUAGAUAUCGUCAAGAACACCGAUAGUGAAGACAGCUUACUAAACUUUAACUGACGCUGAGGCACGAAAGUGUGGGGAUCAAACAGG